RNAcentral lists this ribosomal RNA (253 nucleotides) under uncultured bacterium. RNAcentral describes it as "partial 16S ribosomal RNA". It matches the Rfam family "Bacterial small subunit ribosomal RNA", at positions 524 to 776 of the family's 1533-position model. The record is from RNAcentral.
UACGUAGGGUGCAAGCGUUAAUCGGAAUUACUGGGCGUAAAGCGUGCGCAGGCGGUUUUGUAAGACUGUCGUGAAAUCCCCGGGCUCAACCUGGGAAUGGCGAUGGUGACUGCAAGGCUAGAGUUUGGCAGAGGGGGGUAGAAUUCCACGUGUAGCAGUGAAAUGCGUAGAGAUGUGGAGGAAUACCGAUGGCGAAGGCAGCCCCCUGGGCCAAUACUGACGCUCAUGCACGAAAGCGUGGGGAGCAAACAGG